This 22-nucleotide microRNA is filed under the name Pongo pygmaeus (Bornean orangutan). Its description in RNAcentral is "ppy-miR-513a-1-3p". Its record names the gene ppy-miR-513a-1-3p. The record is from miRBase by way of RNAcentral. Lineage: Eukaryota; Metazoa; Chordata; Mammalia; Primates; Hominidae.
UAAAUCUCACCUUUCUGAGAAG